GCUGGAUGAUCUCAAAGGGAUUUGGCUUCAAAUCUUAGUUCUUCUACUCACCUUUUUAACCACAGGCAAGUCACUGAAGUCCUCGGAGGCCCUGGGGCCUCAUGAGGAAAACAGGAGUAAUAGUUAUUUAUAUGUCCUUUAUGGUUUGCAAAACACUUUCUGUGCGAAAGCCUGUGUAUGUGGGGGGAUGCAGGGGUGCUUAUUAAUGCCAUCAUUUUACAGGUGAGGAAACUGAGGCAUAGAAAAGCUAAAUAACUGAAGCUCCUGCGGGUGACAAGUCCAGGGCUCUUGCCAGUAGACAACACUUACAGCUAUAACCAGUUUAUAGUUUAGAGCCCUCCUCAGCCUGUAAGAGGCCAGGCUUGCUGACCCAAGCCUAGGAACGGCUGUUCGCUACAGGACCCAAGUCACCUGGGCCAGUACCUGCUGGCCCAGAGACCACUGAGACAGAGCCCCAAGCUUCUCCAGGGACAGAUGAGAAUAGGCUUCGAAAUGCUCCCCUCCCUCCUUCAGCCUCCUCCACACCCGAAUCCACUAAUCAGCCUGGUGCUGGGGAGAUGUUUCGAAAACAAAAAACAGAAACUGAAAACUUGACUUCCUGUAGGCCCUGCAAAGGAAGCAGGAAGAAAAAGCUGUGAAUGUGUGAUGAGCAGCUGGCUUUUUAUUUUUAAACUUGUCUCACUGCUGCGUAGAUGUUCUGGAAAAACAGGGAGGAUUACAAAGGAAUUCUGACCUACAAGGACUACAUUUUUCAAGUCGGUGUUAAUGAGGCUGAUGGGGUCUUUUCAGGACCUGGGUUUCACUGUGAAAUCUGUUUGUGUGGUAGAGACAAAAGGAGAGAAUCCUGCACAUUGAAGACUGCAGAGGACACCUUACCUGCUCACUGUCUUUCCCUGGGACCAGACCCAGCACCAGCUGUGCUAAGUGGAAAAUCAACCUUCUCCCCUUUCUCCCGCAGGACCCUGCGUACUUUCACCAUGGCCAUCUGGACACUGCAUGAUGUUUUUCUGGCUCUGUCUCUAAAGAGUCAUUUAAAUGGGCAAAAUUUCAUGCCAGGUCAGUACAAUAAGGAAGAUGACUGA
Long non-coding RNA from Phascolarctos cinereus (koala), 1082 nucleotides. Lineage: Eukaryota; Metazoa; Chordata; Mammalia; Diprotodontia; Phascolarctidae. The record is from Ensembl.